This 165-nucleotide ribosomal RNA is filed under the name Diplasiolejeunea unidentata. RNAcentral's name for it is "partial 18S ribosomal RNA". It matches the Rfam family "Eukaryotic small subunit ribosomal RNA", at positions 1671 to 1831 of the family's 1831-position model. The record is from RNAcentral. Lineage: Eukaryota; Viridiplantae; Streptophyta; Jungermanniopsida; Porellales; Lejeuneaceae.
GCCCGUUCCUCCUACCGAUUGAAUGGUCCGGUGAAGUUUUCGGAUCGCGGCGACGCCGGCGGUUCGCCGCCGUUGUUGUUGUGAGAAGUUCAUUAAACCUUAUCAUUUAGAGGAAGGAGAAGUCGUAACAAGGUUUCCGUAGGUGAACCUGCGGAAGGAUCAUUG